Molecule: long non-coding RNA, 365 nt
Organism: Oncorhynchus kisutch (coho salmon)
Lineage: Eukaryota; Metazoa; Chordata; Actinopteri; Salmoniformes; Salmonidae
Exons: 3
Source: RefSeq, a predicted model, not a curated record
UCCAAUGAGCCGAAAUGGAUGAAAUACGGAAGUCCAGUUUCUGCCUUAAAACAUUUCCAGAAGCUGAUUGGUCCCAUUGGGGUACGAUUGGGCCUUCCGGAAAACACUGUUAAGCAUUCAUGAUUGGUCAAAAGAACAUGACAAUCUAUGAUUACCGAAUCAAGGUGGGACAAACUCAGUUCAGCAGAGGGAGUAAAAUAAGACGGAAGAGCGAGAUCGAAACCUAGCACCAUCUCAAAAGACUUCCAAGAAAUUACGUUUCGAAAGUGAGCUCAACCUCGGAUUCUGGAUUUAUUUUGUAUUACAUGAAGCUUGGCAAAUUUCCCUGGCACCCAAAAGUACUUUUUGCAUUUUGAAUGCAAAAA